AACUUUCAGCAAUGGAUCACUUGGUUCUGGCAUCGAUGAAGAACGCAGCGAAAUGCGAUAAGCAAUGUGAAUUGCAGAAUUUAGUGAAUCAUCGAAUCUUUGAACGCAUAUUGCACCCCUUGGUAUUCCGAGGGGUAUGCCUGUUCGAGCGUCAUUAUGACCACUCCAGCCUGGCUGGGUAUUAGGCCUCGCCAAUAGGCGGGCCUUAAAAUCAGUGGCAGUGCUCUUAGGCUCUACGCGUAGUACCUUUUCUCGCUAUAGAGCCCUGGGGGAUACUGGCCAUCAAAUCUUAACUUCUCAAGGUUGACCUCGGAUCAGGUAGGGAUACCCGCUGAACUUAAGCAUAUCAAUAAGCGGAGGCU
RNAcentral lists this unclassified non-coding RNA (362 nucleotides) under uncultured Hyaloscyphaceae. Its description in RNAcentral is "sequence contains ITS2". The stretch from base 1 to 154 matches the Rfam family "5.8S ribosomal RNA". The record is from RNAcentral. Lineage: Eukaryota; Fungi; Ascomycota; Leotiomycetes; Helotiales.